AACGAACGCUGGCGGCAUGCCUAACACAUGCAAGUCGAACGAAGGCUUCGGCCUUAGUGGCGCACGGGUGCGUAACGCGUGGGAAGCUGCCCCUCGGUUCGGAAUAACAGUUAGAAAUGACUGCUAAUACCGGAUGAUGACUUCGGUCCAAAGAUUUAUCGCCGAGUGAUGAGCCCGCGUAAGAUUAGGUAGUUGGUGGGGUAAAGGCCUACCAAGCCGACGAUCUUUAGCUGGUCUGAGAGGAUGAUCAGCCACACUGGGACUGAGACACGGCCCAGACUCCUACGGGAGGCAGCAGUGGGGAAUAUUGGACAAUGGGCGAAAGCCUGAUCCAGCAAUGCCGCGUGAGUGAUGAAGGCCUUAGGGUUGUAAAGCUCUCUUACCAGGGAUGAUAAUGACAGUACCUGGAGAAUAAGCUCCGGCUAACUCCGUGCCAGCCGCCGCCGUAA
RNAcentral lists this ribosomal RNA (449 nucleotides) under uncultured bacterium. RNAcentral's name for it is "partial 16S ribosomal RNA". It matches the Rfam family "Bacterial small subunit ribosomal RNA", at positions 29 to 523 of the family's 1533-position model. The record is from RNAcentral.